This 546-nucleotide ribosomal RNA is filed under the name uncultured archaeon. Its description in RNAcentral is "partial 16S ribosomal RNA". It matches the Rfam family "Archaeal small subunit ribosomal RNA", at positions 89 to 636 of the family's 1478-position model. The record is from RNAcentral.
CUCAGUAACGCGNANNNNNNNNNACCUAUGGACGGGGAUAAUCUCGGGAAACUGAGCAUAAUACCCGAUAGAACAUUAUGCCUGGAAUGGUUUAUGUUCCAAAUGAUUUAUUGCCGUAGGAUGGGACUGCGGCCUAUCAGUUUGUUGGUGAGGUAAUGGCCCACCAAGACUAUUACAGGUACGGGCUCUGAGAGGAGUAGCCCGGAGAUGGGUACUGAGACACGGACCCAGGCCCUAUGGGGCGCAGCAGGCGAGAAAACUUUGCAAUGUGCGAAAGCACGACAAGGUUAAUCCGAGUGGUUUCUGCUAAAGGAACCUUUUGACAGUCCUAGAAACACUGUUGAAUAAGGGGUGGGCAAGUUCUGGUGUCAGCCGCCGCGGUAAAACCAGCACCUCAAGUGGUCAGGAUGAUUAUUGGGCCUAAAGCAUCCGUAGCCGGCUCUGUAAGUUUUCGGNUAAAUCUAUAUGCUCAACAUAUANNCUGNCGGGAAAACUGCANAGCUAGGGAGNGGGAGAGGUANANGGUACUCGGUAGGAAGGGGUAAA